UACAGAGGGUGCAAGCGUUAAUCGGAAUUACUGGGCGUAAAGCGUGCGUAGACGGUUAUGUAAGUCGGGUGUGAAAGCCCCGGGCUCAACCUGGGAAUUGCAUUCGAGACUGCAUAGCUAGGGUGCGGAAGAGGGAAGCGGAAUUUCCGGUGUAGCGGUGAAAUUCGUAGAUAUCGGAAGGAACACCAGUGGCGAAAGCGGCUUCCUGGUCCAGCACCGACGUUCAGGCACGAAAGCGUGGGGAGCAAACAGG
RNAcentral lists this ribosomal RNA (253 nucleotides) under uncultured bacterium. Its description in RNAcentral is "partial 16S ribosomal RNA". It matches the Rfam family "Bacterial small subunit ribosomal RNA", at positions 524 to 776 of the family's 1533-position model. The record is from RNAcentral.